GUGCCAGCCGCCGCGGUAAUACGUAGGGGGCAAGCGUUGUUCGGAAUUACUGGGCGUAAAGGGCGCGUAGGCGGCAUGGCAAGUCAGGAGUGAAAGGCCUGGGCUCAACCGAGGAACUGCUUUUGAGACUGCCAAGCUAGAGUGCGGAAGGGGCAACUGGAAUUCCCAGUGUAGCGGUGAAAUGCGUAGAUAUUGGGAAGAACACCGGAGGCGAAGGCGGGUUGCUGGGCCGACACUGACGCUGAGGCGCGAAAGCCAGGGGAGCAAACGGGAUUAGAAACCCCCGUAGUCC
This 292-nucleotide ribosomal RNA is filed under the name uncultured bacterium. Its description in RNAcentral is "partial 16S ribosomal RNA". It matches the Rfam family "Bacterial small subunit ribosomal RNA", at positions 505 to 796 of the family's 1533-position model. The record is from RNAcentral.